This is a non-coding RNA of Triticum aestivum (bread wheat), 136 nucleotides long. The record is from Rfam. Lineage: Eukaryota; Viridiplantae; Streptophyta; Magnoliopsida; Poales; Poaceae.
UGUGUACUCCCUUCGUUCCAAAAUACUUGACUUCCAUUUGUCCAAAAAUGGAUGUACCUAUAUACUAAAACAUGUCUAGAUACAUAUAUAUUUUGACAAAUAGAAGGCAUGUAUUGUGCAACGGAGGGAGUAGAAU